AUUGAACGCUGGCGGAAUGCUUUACACACGCAAGUCGAACGGCAGCACAGGUGCUUGCACCUGGUGGCGAGUGGCGAACGGGUGAGUAAUGCAUCGGAACGUACCGUGUAGUGGGGGAUAACGCAUCGAAAGGUGUGCUAAUACCGCAUACGUCCUGAGGGAGAAAGUGGGGGAUCGCAAGACCUCACGCUAUACGAGCGGCCGAUGUCCGAUUAGCUAGUUGGUGAGGUAAAGGCUUACCAAGGCGACGAUCGGUAGCUGGUCUGAGAGGACGACCAGCCAGACUGGGACUGAGACACGGCCCAGACUCCUACGGGAGGCAGCAGUGGGGAAUUUUGGACAAUGGGCGAAAGCCUGAUUCAGCCAUUCCGCGUGUCUGAAGAAGGCCUUCGGGUUGUAAAGGACUUUUGUCAGGGAGGAAAUCCCUAGUGCUAAUAACACUGGGGGAUGACAGUACCUGAAGAAUAAGCACCGGCUAACUACGUGCCAGCCGCCGCCGUAA
This 502-nucleotide ribosomal RNA is filed under the name uncultured bacterium. Its description in RNAcentral is "partial 16S ribosomal RNA". It matches the Rfam family "Bacterial small subunit ribosomal RNA", at positions 30 to 523 of the family's 1533-position model. The record is from RNAcentral.